GAUGAACGCUGGCGGCGUGCUUAACACAUGCAAGUCGAACGAUGAAGCCCAGCUUGCUGGGUGGAUUAGUGGCGAACGGGUGAGUAACACGUGAGUAACCUGCCCUUAACUCUGGGAUAAGCCUGGGAAACUGGGUCUAAUACCGGAUAGGAGCGUCCACCGCAUGGUGGGUGUUGGAAAGAUUUAUCGGUUUUGGAUGGACUCGCGGCCUAUCAGCUUGUUGGUGAGGUAAUGGCUCACCAAGGCGACGACGGGUAGCCGGCCUGAGAGGGUGACCGGCCACACUGGGACUGAGACACGGCCCAGACUCCUACGGAGGCAGCAGUGGGGAAUAUUGCACAAUGGGCGCAAGCCUGAUGCAGCGACGCCGCGUGAGGGAUGACGGCCUUCGGGUUGUAAACCUCUUUCAGUAGGGAAGAAGCGAAAGUGACGGUACCUGCAGAAGAAGCACCGGCUAACUACGUG
RNAcentral lists this ribosomal RNA (465 nucleotides) under uncultured bacterium. RNAcentral describes it as "partial 16S ribosomal RNA". It matches the Rfam family "Bacterial small subunit ribosomal RNA", at positions 28 to 507 of the family's 1533-position model. The record is from RNAcentral.